ACAUCCCGGCCCACUGAAUGAAUUCUCUUUUCCUGUUUCCUGGCCCCUGGAAACUCAGCUGGCCUUCCGGGGACCUGAGGGUUUCUAUCAGGAAGGUCUCUGGUGGUGGUUUUCAGAUUUCUGGGGCAGGAAAUAGAGGGGGGGGUCUUAGGAUCAGUUUCAUUUCUGGAAGAAGAGCUCCUGGAGGGAGUACUGAAAGGAAUGAGGGGAGGAGGGAAGGAAUGAACGAAGGAAGGGAGCAAGGGAGGGAAACGCUGAUUCUAAGUGUCAGUGCGCCAGGCGAUCAGAGCUGACUCCUCUCCCUUUUCCCUUGGAGGUGUUGAUAGUAACAGCAGAGACGAGCUGCCAAGUUGGCAGGAGAACAGAGCGACUGUGCACUGCGGAUUGCGGUGGGGGUGGGGGUGCAGCAAGCGAGUUCUGUAGCUUCUUCCUCCACAGAGGACCUUAGAAGGCACCCAUGCUGUCAAUCAAAUAGACCUGGGACCUUGAGCAAGUCAUUCAACUUCUUUGAGCCUCAGAGACGAAUAUCUACUUCAGAGCUUUGUGUGAGGAUUCAACAAAGUAGUAACAGCAAAAACUUAUCUAUUGCUUACCACAAGGCAGACACUCUUCUAAGAGCUUUACAUACGUGAAGGCACUUAAUCUUCAAACGACUUCAUCAGGUGGGUGCUAUUAUUAUUCCCACUUUAUUAAUGAAGUAACUAAGGCACAGAAAGGGUAAGUAAUUAUCCAAGGUCACAGAGCUAGUGAGUAGCAAGGUUGGGUUUGAACUCAGUCGUGUGUCACUUAGGCCAUGUUCCCAGCCCUUACACAAACUGCCCUCACAGUGCAACAGAGUUCUUAGCACAGUGCUUGGCACAGAGCAAGCAUUUAAUAAACAUUGGCUCUCACCAUGACUUCCUGAAAGCAGUUCCAGCAGGGGACCCAGGCUCCUGACAUCCUCCCCAGGGACCCCACGGGGCCCUAGGGCUGAUUCUCUUCCAUCUUUGGUUCACACCACCUCGCUUCUCCUGGGAGCUGGAGCAGUUCCUCCACGGGAGCGAGAGCCACUGGUCUCCCCUGCUCCUUGCUCCUCGGUCCCCUCCUCCCACCUAAGGCAGA
Molecule: long non-coding RNA, 1101 nt
Filed under: Equus caballus (horse)
Lineage: Eukaryota; Metazoa; Chordata; Mammalia; Perissodactyla; Equidae
Description: lncRNA (ENSECAG00000056464.1)
Source: RNAcentral